GGAUUAGAUACCCUGGUAGUCCACGCCGUAAACGAUGGGUGCUAGAUAUUGGAGCUUAGUUUCAGUGUCGUAGCUAACGCGUUAAGCACCCCGCCUGGGGAGUACGGUCGCAAGAUUAAAACUCAAAGGAAUUGACGGGGGCCCGCACAAGCGGUGGAGCAUGUGGUUUAAUUCGAUGCAACGCGAAGAACCUUACCAACCCUUGACAUCUAGGUCGCGGAUUUCAGAGAUGAUUUCCUUCAGCUCGGCUGGACCUAUGACAGGUGUUGCAUGGCUGUCGUCAGCUCGUGCUG
This 293-nucleotide ribosomal RNA is filed under the name uncultured bacterium. RNAcentral's name for it is "partial 16S ribosomal RNA". It matches the Rfam family "Bacterial small subunit ribosomal RNA", at positions 775 to 1067 of the family's 1533-position model. The record is from RNAcentral.